GAUCAUGGCUCAGGAUGAACGCUGGCGGCGUGCUUAACACAUGCAAGUCGAACGGGAAAUACUUUAUUGAAACUUCGGUCGAUUUAAUCUAUUUCUAGUGGCGGACGGGUGAGUAACGCGUGGGUAACCUGCCUUGUACUGGGGGAUAACAGCCAGAAAUGGCUGCUAAUACCGCAUAAGCGCACGGAGGCGCAUGUCUCUGUGUGAAAAACUCCGGUGGUAUAAGAUGGACCCGCGUUGGAUUAG
RNAcentral lists this ribosomal RNA (246 nucleotides) under uncultured bacterium. Its description in RNAcentral is "partial 16S ribosomal RNA". It matches the Rfam family "Bacterial small subunit ribosomal RNA", at positions 15 to 244 of the family's 1533-position model. The record is from RNAcentral.